This 238-nucleotide long non-coding RNA is filed under the name Elaeis guineensis (African oil palm). Its description in RNAcentral is "long non-coding RNA (EGUI_LNC063387)". Lineage: Eukaryota; Viridiplantae; Streptophyta; Magnoliopsida; Arecales; Arecaceae. The record is from RNAcentral.
GGCCAAAAGAUUUUUCUUGAGUCAUUUACGAAUGAGAAUACACAGGAUGCGAUCUCCUCUUACUAGGAGCAAUCGAUUCUAUAUUGAUCUACUCACAAUCUUUGUACACACUUCUACCAUAUCCAGAACACCCCGUAUAUAUCUUAAAAUCAUGCUUGAGUAUGAACCAAAAUAUGAAUUCAUGUGCAUAAGAUUUUAUGGUAAUCUCAGGUCUAAAGAUCACUUGCACAACUUCCAC